GAUGAAGAACGCAGCGAAAUGCGAUACUUGGUGUGAAUUGCAGAAUCCCGUGAACCAUCGAGUCGUUGAACGCAAGUUGCGCCCGAAGCCACUAGGCCGAGGGCACGCCUGCCUGGGCGUCACACGCCGUUGCCCCCCCAUCUACUCCUUCGGGAUUGCGGGGGGGCGGAUGAUGGCCUCCCGUGCGCCUAGCCGCGCGGUUGGCAUAAAUACCAAGUCCUCGGCGACGCACGCCACGACAAUCGGUGGUUGCGAAACCUCGGUUGCCCGUCGUGUGCGUUCGUCGCGCAUCGAGGGCUCGAAAAAAUGCUCGGCUCCGGCUGGGCUUUCAACGCGACCCCAGGUCAGGCGGGGUUACCCGCUGAAUUUAAGCAUAUCAAUAAGCGGAGGA
RNAcentral lists this unclassified non-coding RNA (391 nucleotides) under soil metagenome. RNAcentral describes it as "partial contains 5.8S ribosomal RNA, internal transcribed spacer 2, and large subunit ribosomal RNA". The stretch from base 1 to 122 matches the Rfam family "5.8S ribosomal RNA", at positions 35 to 154 of the family's 154-position model. The record is from RNAcentral.